This 344-nucleotide unclassified non-coding RNA is filed under the name soil metagenome. RNAcentral describes it as "partial contains 5.8S ribosomal RNA, internal transcribed spacer 2, and large subunit ribosomal RNA". The stretch from base 1 to 119 matches the Rfam family "5.8S ribosomal RNA", at positions 35 to 154 of the family's 154-position model. The record is from RNAcentral.
GAUGAAGAACGUAGCGAAUGCGAUACGUAAUGUGAAUUGCAGAAUUCAGUGAAUCAUCGAGUCUUUGAACGCACAUUGCGCCCCCUGGUAUUCCGGGGGGCAUGCCUGUCCGAGCGUCAUUGCUGCCCUCAAGCACGGCUUGUGUGUUGGGCCUCCGUCCUCCUCCCGGGGGACGGGCCCGAAAGGCAGCGGCGGCACCGCGUCCGGUCCUCGAGCGUAUGGGGCUUCGUCACCCGCUCUUGUAGGCCCGGCCGGCGCUUGCCGACACAUCAAUCUUUUUUCCAGGUUGACCUCGGAUCAGGUAGGGAUACCCGCUGAACUUAAGCAUAUCAAUAAGCGGAGGA